RNAcentral lists this non-coding RNA (28 nucleotides) under Homo sapiens (human). Lineage: Eukaryota; Metazoa; Chordata; Mammalia; Primates; Hominidae. The record is from RNAcentral.
AUGCCUCAUAAAUAAGUUCAGUGUGUCU